This 814-nucleotide long non-coding RNA is filed under the name Panax ginseng (ginseng). RNAcentral's name for it is "long non-coding RNA (PGIN_LNC017919)". The record is from RNAcentral. Lineage: Eukaryota; Viridiplantae; Streptophyta; Magnoliopsida; Apiales; Araliaceae.
CACUGACAAAAUUUCCCUUCUCGCUAUAGAGCAGAUUAAUUAAUAUUUAACUUAUAAAGUAAAAUCUCCUUUGGCAACUGUUAGAAUGAUAUACAUUGUUGGACCCUUCAUCUAAAAGUUUAAACUGUUAGAUGAGUUGGUUACUUAACAUGGUAUCAGAGCUCUGGAGUGUGCAAGGUCUUGGGUUCAAAUCUUCCCAGCUACACAAUUCAUUUGAUGAGGAGCCUUGGUCCGGAAGGUAUUCUAACAUAUCGAAGAACACUAAUUUAAAGCAAAUGACAGGUAAUGAGAAUACAAGAAAACACAAUAGAGAAAUAUGGAGAACAUCCACAGGAAAUGAGUCAAGUUCAACAGCUUGUCUAUCAGUAAGCAAAGGUAAAGUAUCGUCUGUUAACAAUCCCUUCUUGUAAUUUUGGAGGCGAAGGCUUACCAACAUGCUUCUAGUUUUCUUAUAGUGCUCAUCCUCAGCUUGGGGCUGGGAAUUCUUACACAGUAGCUGCAUCAACGCACGGAAACUAAUUUAAGAACCAGAAGUAUUCACAAGAACAUAGUUACAGAUUCAGCUUAACAAUUCCGACUACUUGAAGAAUGACAUAAAGCAGAUGAAUGGUGCACAGAUGUAUUCAUCUAAUUAUAUGUUCCAUCAGGUGUCAUAGAAGGUAACUCCAAAAUCUAGUCUUUAUAAUUUGGACACAUGUAAUAGAUAACUAUUUUUCUUUAUGCAUGGUUCUUUUCUAAACUUGGAUUCUGUUAGUAGGAAUCUAAGUUCUUCAAAGUCAGGCACCAAAACCCAAAUUAGUGCGAUAGAAAUCAU